AGAUACCCUGGUAGUCCACGCCGUAAACGAUGUCGACUUGGAGGUUGUUCCCUUGAGGAGUGGCUUCCGGAGCUAACGCGUUAAGUCGACCGCCUGGGGAGUACGGCCGCAAGGUUAAAACUCAAAUGAAUUGACGGGGGCCCGCACAAGCGGUGGAGCAUGUGGUUUAAUUCGAUGCAACGCGAAGAACCUUACCUACUCUUGACAUCCACGGAAUUUGGCAGAGAUGCCUUAGUGCCUUCGGGAACCGUGAGACAGGUGCUGCAUGGCUGUCGUCAGCUCGUGUUGUGAAAUGUUGGGUUAAGUCCCGCAACGAGCGCAACCCUUAUCCUUUGUUGCCAGCGAUUCGGUCGGGAACUCAAAGGAGACUGCCGGUGAUAAACCGGAGGAAGGUGGGGAUGACGUCAAGUCAUCAUGGCCCUUACGAGUAGGGCUACACACGUGCUACAAUGGCGCAUACAAAGAGAAGCGACCUCGCGAGAGCAAGCGGACCUCAUAAAGUGCGUCGUAGUCCGGAUCGGAGUCUGCAACUCGACUCCGUGAAGUCGGAAUCGCUAGUAAUCGUGGAUCAGAAUGCCACGGUGAAUACGUUCCCGGGCCUUGUACACACCGCCCGUCACACCAUGGGAGUGGGUUGCAAAAGAAGUAGGUAGCUUAACCUUCGGGAGGGCGCUUACCACUUUGUGAUUCAUGACUGGGGUGAAGUCGUAACAAGGUAACC
Molecule: ribosomal RNA, 721 nt
Filed under: uncultured bacterium
Lineage: Bacteria
Description: bacterial SSU rRNA
Rfam family: Bacterial small subunit ribosomal RNA
Source: RNAcentral